Molecule: ribosomal RNA, 443 nt
Filed under: uncultured bacterium
Lineage: Bacteria
Description: partial 16S ribosomal RNA
Rfam family: Bacterial small subunit ribosomal RNA
Source: RNAcentral
CCUACGGGCGGCUGCAGUGGGGAAUAUUGCACAAUGGGGGGAACCCUGAUGCAGCAAUGCCGCGUGAAGGAUGAAGGUUUUCGGAUUGUAAACUUCUUUUGUACGGGACGAAGAAUGUGACGGUAGCGUAAGAAUAAGCCACGGCUAACUACGUGCAAGCAGCCGCGGGAAUACGGAGGUGGCAGGCGUUAUACGGAUUUACUGGGUGUAAAGGGCGAGUAGGCGGGAGUGCAAGUCAGAUGUGAAAACUAUGGGCUCAACCGAUAGUGUGCAUUUGAAACUGCAGUUCUUGAGUGAGGGAGAGGCAGGCGGAAUGCCCGGUGUAGCGGUGGAAUGCGUAGAUAUCGCGCAGAACCCCAGUGGCGAAGGCGGCCUGCUGGAGAUUAACUGACGCUGAAGCGCGAAAGCGUGGGUAGCGAACAGGAUUAGAUACCCGGGUAGUC